CGCGUAGGCGGCCCGUUAAGUCUGGAGUGAAAGUCCUGCUUCCAAGGUGGGAAUUGCUUUGGAUACUGAUGGGCUGGAGUGCAGGAGAGGAAAGCGGAAUUACCGGUGUAGCGGUGAAAUGCGUAGAGAUCGGUAGGAACACCAGUGGCGAAGGCGGCUUUCUGGACUGAAACUGACGCUGAGGCGCGAAAGCGUGGGGAGCAAACA
This 207-nucleotide ribosomal RNA is filed under the name uncultured bacterium. Its description in RNAcentral is "partial 16S ribosomal RNA". It matches the Rfam family "Bacterial small subunit ribosomal RNA", at positions 568 to 774 of the family's 1533-position model. The record is from RNAcentral.